RNAcentral lists this non-coding RNA (28 nucleotides) under Rattus norvegicus (Norway rat). The record is from RNAcentral. Lineage: Eukaryota; Metazoa; Chordata; Mammalia; Rodentia; Muridae.
UCCUAAAUUGGCAAGGACGUUCCUCUUA